This 253-nucleotide ribosomal RNA is filed under the name uncultured bacterium. RNAcentral describes it as "partial 16S ribosomal RNA". It matches the Rfam family "Bacterial small subunit ribosomal RNA", at positions 524 to 776 of the family's 1533-position model. The record is from RNAcentral.
UACGGGGGGGGCAAGCGUUGUUCGGAAUUACUGGGCGUAAAGCGCGUGUAGGCGGUCCGGUAAGUCCGCUGUGAAAGUCGAGGGCUCAACCCUCGAAUGCCGGUGGAUACUGUCGGGCUAGAGUGCGGAAGAGGCGAGUGGAAUUCCUGGUGUAGCGGUGAAAUGCGCAGAUAUCAGGAGGAACACCGAUUGCGAAGGCAGCUCGCUGGGACGUAACUGACGCUGAGACGCGAAAGCGUGGGGAGCAAACAGG